CAACGAUAUGAACAUAUAUGACACUCUGUCAUAAUGCAUCUGUUUACUCAACCAGGUUCUCUUCUUUUGACCAUACCCAGAAGUAUUGUUUGGAUUUUUUGAAACACACAUACGACAUUAUUCAUAUUCACAGAGAACAAGUUCCAAAUCCUUAACAUACCCGUUACUCUUUAUUGCAAGCAUCAGUCUUUACGUGAGACUAAACCUCAUACUUCUCUCUGGU
Molecule: unclassified non-coding RNA, 223 nt
Filed under: Hevea brasiliensis (rubber tree)
Lineage: Eukaryota; Viridiplantae; Streptophyta; Magnoliopsida; Malpighiales; Euphorbiaceae
Source: RNAcentral